GGCCUGGCACAGUAUUGGACACAUCUUCUUUCCCACCUGGAUGUGGAUCGCACUCGUCUUCUGGGUGACGCCUGCCGUAGCCGGAUUAGGUCUGGUCGUGAUGGUCUUCGUCUCCGUCCGGGCGCAGGGAUUUCAGGAU
RNAcentral lists this unclassified non-coding RNA (139 nucleotides) under uncultured fungus. RNAcentral describes it as "sequence contains ITS1". Lineage: Eukaryota; Fungi. The record is from RNAcentral.